This 3971-nucleotide long non-coding RNA is filed under the name Nicotiana tabacum (common tobacco). Its description in RNAcentral is "long non-coding RNA (NTAB_LNC000972)". Lineage: Eukaryota; Viridiplantae; Streptophyta; Magnoliopsida; Solanales; Solanaceae. The record is from RNAcentral.
UUGCCUACGUAUCAUGUCCCUCAUGAAUCAGACCAAUGUAGGUUGCGUACGUAUCAUGUCCCUCAUGAAUCAGACCAAGCAUAGUUCUUGAAAAGUAAUGGAUAAAUUAAACUAAAAAAAUAAAAGUCUUUUUGGAUUAUUCAUUUACAACUUUUUUUUUAUUUUCAAAACAAAAACAGGAAAUAUGAUAAUGAGAGACUCAACUCAACUAUACUACGACAAACUCCGACACCAACUAAAAGAAUCAUUGCUACUGGACAUGACUAUAAAGUACAAGACAACAUAAAAAAGAAACAGAAUCAAAAUAUAAAAAAUUUCUCCUUAAGGAACUCCUGAAUGCAAUGGUCCUGACCUAACGGUCCUGGGGUAUUUGUCAUGCACAAACUCCGGUAUGUAGAUUAACACCUGUAUAACAAAACUAAAGCCAAAUAGAGUUAAGGAUUUAGAACACUAUAUGACACAAUAACACUCCCUGUUGGACACAUGCAAGACAUGAUCGUGCAAAAUAGCCUACGUGGCCAAAAGGCGGCUAGAAGUGCAAACUCAACAAAGGUGACCUCUAAGACAUGGAAAAAUUACUUUUGCAGAAAUGUCCAAUUUUGUAGAAAUGGUCAAUGUGGCCAAAAAUGGCUAAGCAUGCAAAUUCAACAGAAUGGCCCUUAAACAUAGAGGACACAUUGUUGUGGACCUAGGACUCUAAGACAUGGGUUAAUUGAACCACUUUUGCGAAAAUAACCCUAUUUUGCAAAAUGGUCUAUGUAGCCAAAAGCGGUAGACAUGCAAAUUUUGGCUAAGACCCCGUGAAGCCAAGUACCUAAGACUCACUAAGAAGACCGAACCCUAUGUGGGUUGCCUACGUAUCACGCCCCGAAAGAUGAAAAUCAGGUAUGUGUAGUUCGGGAAAAUUGGGAUACGGGCGAGAAUUAAAAAAAUAACUAAUUUAGAGAAAAUAUAUUUUUUGUGUUUUGUUUUGAAAAAUGAUGAAACAUGUAAACUCUUUUUGGAUUUUCUUUUUCUUCUUUUGCUUAUUUUUUUUUUUGAAAAAAAAUAAUGGGAAAGUUCAAAAUCUUUUUGGUUAUUCAUUUUCAUUUUUUUUUGUUUUUGGUCUUUUCUUGAAAAAGCGUGAAAGAAAAUUAUAACUGGGCCUUACUUGCUUUAUUUUACACUUCAUACUCUUUUCUUUCUCAUUUUCCUUCAACCCACACUGAUCCGCCAAAUGACCUCUUUCACCUUUGAAGAAGGUAACAUAUAGCGCAUAAGAUGCAUCAAGAUGGUCUUUUAUUUUUGGGUACACCUGUCCUAGACGGAUCCAACCCCUCUGUUGAGUCCCGAAAGUCAAAUGUACAUGAUCCAAAUAAGCAUUCCUGCUAGGGAUCCGAUAUGAGGCUGAGUUAUUCUAGGUUUAUAACUUGGGUGUAUUGUUCUAGACUUGGUGUAUCCGAGUGGAUAACUCGAGCCGGGCGGGGCUACGUACUGGGAACCAAAAGGCCAUCCGUCUUUGUAACUUGUCUGAGCCUCUUUCUAAUUCAAGGUAUGAUACUAACAGAAAAGAAGUCACGUCAGCAUGCACUUCCCCGAAGAUGAGAAGAGUAGGGUUUCGUAGCAGUUUAUACACAAUUCAAAUAAUAUCAAAGCGGUAAAAAGCGGCAUUUAGCACAUUAGGCCCAAACAUAUAAUAAACCAAAUAAUAAAUAAAGUCAAAUAUAACAAUUAUUCUAAGCUCGAAUUCUUGAACCCUAAACGAGAAGUUCUGGGUUCUUGUCCCCAGCAGAGUCGCCAAAGCUGUCACACCUCCUUUUUUUACACCCCCGGAAGGGGGUAUAGGGAGUUUUUUCCAAUUUAAGUGACAAUCGGAAAAGGAUUAUUUAUAUUAAAUUCAGAGUCGCCGCUUGGGAUAAUUUAUGGUGUCCCAAGUCACCNNNNNNNNNNNNNNNNNUUGACUNUGUUUUACAAUCCGCAAACACAGAAAUCCGGGUAAGGAACUCUGUUAACCCAAGAGAAGGUGUUAGGAAUUCCCAGGUUCAGUGCUUUUAGCACGGUUGCUCAACUAUUAUUAUUGGCCUAAUUAUCUGAGUAAUACACAUUUAAAACCUACAUGUAUUUUUAACUUUUUAACCACUUUUAAUUUUUUAUGGAAUUAUUCAGGAACAAGUUACGAUUAUCAUACACUUGUUUGUUUGGUACACAUUGCGAAUCGUAUCACGGGAACCGUACCCACGAUCUACAACAUGUUUAAUUUAUUAACAAGAUUAAAUUGUGGCUAGAUCACAUAAAUGUACCCUCGAAUUUUAGAAAUUAAGCAUCACGACUACGUCACGGGAAUCGUACCCGCAGCUAUGACAGCUUAUUUAACCAACAUGCCUAAAGCAAACUACGAGAGUUCAAGGCAUUUUUCUACAUUAGUUAAGAUAUUAGGGUAAGGGCCAUAGACUAUGUGAUUGGAUGGCACGCCUCAAUUUACCUCAAAAGAUUUGCAUUCAACUAAAGCGAAUUAUGGAUGUUCAUAUUUAAAACUAAUUUGAAAUUAGGUAUCACAACUACGCCACGGGAACCGUACCCAUAGUUGUGGUGAUUUAACUACGUACCUAAAACAAACUACGAAUGUUCAUGAAACAUUGUCCUAAACUAAUUCGAAAUUAUUGCAAGGCAGGAGUUAUGGAUAAAAAUCAUUGGAAAUAUAAUGAAUUAUUUAUGCAAUGUAAGUUAACCUAUAAAAGAAAUAUUGUUAGCUACCUUAUCUAUUAUUCUGUUAAAAGAAAGAUCUAAACUUCAAUUCAAUUCUAGUCGGUCCAUACGGCGCAAGCAGAUCCAAACAAACACAUAAGAAGAGAAAAAUAAAAUAAACUAACAAAGUAGUCAACUGGAGUAGGGUAAGAACACGUCCUUCGAAGUGUACUUUCAUGCCAACGCACAUCAGUAUCGUGCGAAUCCAUCCCCUAAUAGCUUACACAUUCCAAACAUGCAUAAAAAUCUAGAAACAAAAGUGAGUCUAUUAUGGACAGGGAUCAAUUAUUCAGAACUUUAAAUGGCUAAAAUCAAGGGAGCUUGCAACUGAAUAGUCACACUUUUAAAUCAUCAAAACAUUUGGUUAUCCUCACAAAUAUAACACCAUAUUAUCCAAUGCCUCUGUUUCCUUAAGAUUCUUAGCAGCUACAAUUAAUGGAAUAUGCUAUCAAUUUUCUAAUGCUUCAUAAAUUGCCUCUUUCUCAUUUGGAAAUUGAGAAAUUGAGUUCAAUGUACAUAAAAAUAAAGCUAAGUGAAUAUUAUGUUUUCUUCAAAUGUGCAAGAAGAAAAAAAUCUUUCAACAAAACUGAAAUGCUUAACAAGAUUAAGUUAACAAGACUUAAUUUGAACAAGAUUCAGUACUUUUUGCCUAGAUCUGUUAGAUCCAGUAGGUAUUGCUCUAUUAUUUCAGUCUUUUAAGGUUUGUUUCUCCGCUCCCAAAAUAAUUAAAAUACCAACAUUUAACAUGAAAUCUAGCUUUAGAUAAUGCUCCAAUAAAUAUGUGCAAUCAUUGCCGUAUUUUUUUAAAAGAAAAUACUUCAAGAAAUGGAGUAAUCUAGCCGAACCAAAUUGACCAAUCUAUGCAGACCAAACAAAAAAUAAUCUAUGAUUCUGAAUACAAUAUCUAAAAAUCACCAAAGCAAAUGCACUAACCAAUAAGAAAAGCUCUGCACCCAUGAGAAGCCGUGAACAAAAUAGCUGACUAAUAUUAGAAAUCUGUGAUGGGCGAAAUAAAUCAUCACCUUGAUUGAGGAAAUCAGCAAGAAAUUGGCAAUGGAAAAUCAGAAAUAGAAAUCGCCACUUUAGUAGCUAAUGUCGAUGGUCUAGGGUUUUGGGAGUAGGCUACCAUUUUUGCUUUUUCUCGAGAUAUUUUUUUUUUUGCUAGGUCUAGGUCUCCAUGAAGAAGCACAAGCUUAGCUUCCAAAAUCAAUGAAAAACGGCUCAUUCAUUCCGCCCCUCCCCCCCUC